RNAcentral lists this ribosomal RNA (259 nucleotides) under uncultured bacterium. RNAcentral's name for it is "partial 16S ribosomal RNA". It matches the Rfam family "Bacterial small subunit ribosomal RNA", at positions 524 to 779 of the family's 1533-position model. The record is from RNAcentral.
UACGUAGGGUGCAGGCGUUUAAUCGGAAUUACUGGGCGUAAAGAGCGCGCAGGCGGUCGUUCAAGUCGCGUGUGAAAGCCCCCCGGCUCAACUGGGGGGGGGUCACGCGAUACUGAUCGACUCGAAGGCAGGAGAGGGAAGUGGAAUUCCCGGUGUAGUGGUGAAAUGCGUAGAUAUCGGGAGGAACACCAGUGGCGAAGGCGACUUCCUGGCCUGUUCUUGACGCUGAGGCGCGAAAGCUAGGGGAGCAAACGGGGAU